This 1188-nucleotide long non-coding RNA is filed under the name Sus scrofa (pig). RNAcentral's name for it is "lncRNA (ENSSSCG00025011731.1)". Lineage: Eukaryota; Metazoa; Chordata; Mammalia; Artiodactyla; Suidae. The record is from RNAcentral.
AAGAGGCUCAGAUGGGAAGGGAAGCAGGACACUUGGGGAGGACACCUGAGAGAAAAAGCCCUCAGGGACCCCAAAGUCGACCCCCAAUCUGUCACGAGGUUUCCACGCUCCGUUCAUGAAGAACAGACCCCUUUUCUUUUUCUUUUUUCCCCUUUUAGAGCUGCAGGGUCAUGUGGAAGUUCCCAGGGUAGGGGUCAAAAUGGAGCGAAGGCUGCUGGCCUACACCACAGCUCAGAGCAAUGCCGGAUCCUUUAACCCACUGAGUGGGGCCAGGGAUGGAACCUGCAUCCUCAUGGAUACUAGUCGGAUUCGUUUCUGCUGUGCCACAAUGGGAACUCCCAACAGACCCCUUUUCUAAAUGACAAGUCAGAGGUUAGCAAAUUGCAAGCCCAAGGUUCAAGACAGGUGUUUCUAGGUCCAGAGCCCUGCCCAGCAUUAAAAACAAAGGACAGUCUGACCCCAGGGAAUGUGUUAAAGCCUCUGGCACUUGGGCCACCCAAGGAGACUAGAAAGGCCCAUCGGACUUGAAGGCAUAGGUGUGUCCUGUGCCUGAGGUGAGGCAGUUGCUGGGGGGUUGGGGGAGUCAGAGUCUCUUGUAAACAACUUCACAACUCUGGGAGGAUCCAGGCAGUUCCAUCAACCCACCUUUAACCCCGUAUCUGAGCCUGGAGGUGUGUCCAGGGAGGGGCAGGUGGGAUCUGCCCCUUCUCACACAAUGAAGUGAACGAACAAAGCCCUUUGAGAGGUGGGUGUUUCUCUCUCCAAGUAAAACAAUGACACACACUCCUCCCUAUAUCCCACACCAGACGCAGUAAAAGAGGCAAAACCAAGCCAAACAGGUGACCAGACUUAAAUGAGCAGCAUCCUGCUCUUCAUUUCUGUGUCUUGGCUUGAGGUAAGAAUUUUCAUCAGGGGUGAAAGAGAGGAGGGGAGAGGCUCAGAUGGAAGGAAAAGAAGAACAUUUUCAGAGCCCCUUAAAGAGACCAGGCACUGGGAUGGAUGCAAACUGCUACCAAGGGCCCGCUGCCUUUGCUCUCCCCAUUCAUGACAACGGCCAAGCUGCCCAGAUGCCAAAAGCAGUGCAAACCAGAUCUGGGAACUCUGCGGGGCCAGUAUUCAGUCCAACGCUUUUAGGGCUCCAAUGUCUGCCUCUGCAGGAUCUGAAGGCAAUCAGAAUUCUUUUAUGGA